RNAcentral lists this transfer RNA (69 nucleotides) under Stenodactylus petrii. RNAcentral describes it as "tRNA-Ile". The record is from RNAcentral. Lineage: Eukaryota; Metazoa; Chordata; Lepidosauria; Squamata; Gekkonidae.
GGGGAUGUGCCUGAGAUACAAGGGCUACUUUGAUAGAGUACACCACAGGGAUCUUACCCCUCGUCCCCC